GGCGACCGGCGCACGGGUGCGCACCGCGUAUGGAACCUGCCUUGUACAGGGGAAUAGCCCAGGGAAACUUGGAUUAAUGCCCCGUAGUACCGUAUUUCGGCAUCGUUAUACGGUUAAAGCCUUCGGGCGGUACAAGAUGGCCAUGCGUCCCAUUAGCUUGUUGGUAAGGUAACGGCUUACCAAGGCUACGAUGGGUAGGGGCCCUGAGAGGGGGAUCCCCCACACUGGUACUGAGACACGGACCAGACUCCUACGGGAGGCAGCAGUGAGGAAUAUUGGACAAUGGAGGAGACUCUGAUCCAGCCAUGCCGCGUGCAGGAAGAAUGCCCUAUGGGUAGUAAACUGCUUUUAAACGGGAAGAAAAAGAGCUACGUGUAGCUUACUGACGGUACCGUAAGAAUAAGGACCGGCUAACUCCGUGCCAGCAGCCGCGGUAAUACGGAGGGUCCGAGCGUUAUCCGGAAUUAUUGGGUUUAAAGGGUCCGUAGGCGGGCCGAUAAGUCAGGGGUGAAAGUCUGCCGCUCAACGGUAGAACUGCCUUUGAUACUGUCGGUCUUGAGUUAUAGUGAAGUUGCCGGAAUAUGUAGUGUAGCGGUGAAAUGCAUAGAUAUUACAUAGAACACCGAUUGCGAAGGCAGGUGACUAACUAUAUACUGACGCU
RNAcentral lists this ribosomal RNA (661 nucleotides) under Maribacter dokdonensis. Its description in RNAcentral is "bacterial SSU rRNA". It matches the Rfam family "Bacterial small subunit ribosomal RNA", at positions 90 to 747 of the family's 1533-position model. Lineage: Bacteria; Pseudomonadati; Bacteroidota; Flavobacteriia; Flavobacteriales; Flavobacteriaceae. The record is from RNAcentral.